Molecule: long non-coding RNA, 1229 nt
Filed under: Felis catus (domestic cat)
Lineage: Eukaryota; Metazoa; Chordata; Mammalia; Carnivora; Felidae
Description: lncRNA (ENSFCAG00000052853.1)
Source: RNAcentral
CUCAAUGUUCUGAGACUAAAUACUACGCCUGUGUGGUUACCAGGAAACCUCCCGUGCAUAGAAACACUUUUCUGUGACUCGGGAUGGCUUAUCUGAGAGUAGAUGGUAAAGUGGUGAUGCCACAGGGGUACAAGACAGUGUUAGGGGAGCAGGAAACUGAAGAGAUUGAGCAGGAGACCAGCAAGGGGCCUUGACUUUGGUGUGCCUUUGAUGUGUAAUGCCACAGCGGAGAAGUCCUGUCUUUGAAAGACGGCGGUCUGGGUACUAGAAUGCUGGCCACCAGUUGUCUCUGUGACUGCUAAAACCAAUAGCAGUCGAGUCCCGGCACCACCAGACUCUCAUGCUACUGACCCCGGUGUGAGUGGCACUUGGGGUUCCGUGUGCGGAAACUGGACUAUAGAUAACUGAUUUGUUAGAGGGGGGCUGGGAGGCUUAGCGCAUUCCAGUGUGUUUCCAAGCAGUGUUCGAAAGCCUCCUGUAAGGACACUGAUUGCACCAUGUGAUGUUUGCCUGAUGCCAGCUAAUUAGGAAAACCCAUCCUGGGCCUAGCUUGAGUGAGCCCAGGGAAGGAUAAACAGUGUCGCUAUAGCUGGUGCGUUGCAGGUCCCCAGCGUAACCCGCAGUCCCUUUACACUUGAUCGAGCUUAUUCUGUGCACAGACUUUCGCUAAAGGCCGCCCCGUCCCAAUGUGUCAGGCAAUUUCCAAAAUGCAGUAGCAGUAACAGCCAGGCUUCUUAUCUACCUCCGCUGAACAGUUAAGAGGAACCUGAGUUUCACCAAGAGCAAUUCGUUGGACAGUUUGGCAUCGUUUGCAAAUGGGUCCAGACGUCACCACUGUGGAGUCCCCUUGGGCUGAGAUAAAGACUUGCUGACCCCUGGGAUCUUCCACUUUGGAGUCCGGCAUUCCUGACCCACUUGCCCGAGGCUGGGCCGUUGCUGAGGCCGGACCCCCAGGUACAAUUCUGAUUGUGCCAUUUACUCUACACAGAACGUGGAGCUUCUUAGCCUCAACCAUGCACAUUGAGGACAACAGACUCAACACGAAGCAUGAGAAACCAAGUGCCUGCUCUCGAGGGGUCCAUGUUCUAGAGGAGACGUCUCUAGUCCAGCGGCUGCACCGGACUUGGGGUUCAGAGUGAUGAUCUCAUGCUCUGUACAGCCCUCCUUGCUGAGGCUCCCACACGGAUGAGUGAACUACACGCCCAUAUUCACCUUGGGCGCCGGCCGGG